RNAcentral lists this ribosomal RNA (690 nucleotides) under Triticum aestivum (bread wheat). Its description in RNAcentral is "partial small subunit ribosomal RNA". Lineage: Eukaryota; Viridiplantae; Streptophyta; Magnoliopsida; Poales; Poaceae. The record is from RNAcentral.
AUGGAGCUUUUGUCACAUGAAAUGUUUGUCAAACUUUCAGUUACAUUGUGGGCGAUCUGGACAUCUCGUCGGAAGGCUAUUCACGAAGGCAUAUUUCAAAGCCCUCAUGCUACACACUCCUUUGUCAACAGAUAUAUUGAAGAACUUGAAAUGAUUUCUGGGAAGGAAGAGACGAGGCGAACAGAACCUCCAAUGCAGGGACGAGCGCCGAGACCUAGUCGACCACCCACGGGAUUUCAUAAAAUCCAUGUGGAUGCAGCGACAUGCCAAGGUAGAGGUGGAGCUGUUUCAGCUGUGUGCAGAGAUGGCAACGACAACUUCGUCGGCAGCUCAGCUCUGGUGAUAGUAGGUGUUCAGGACCCAACAACACUUGAAGCCAUCGCGGUGAGGGAGGCUCUAUCACUUGCAACGGAUAUGCAUAUUCAAAACGUGGUGGUCUCUUCGAAUUGCAAGCAAGUAAUCAUGGAUAUAAAGAACGAUACAGAUGGAAGAUAUGGAGCGAUCAUCAAGGAAAUCAAGAUCCAAUCAACUUUUUUCAAUUGUAAUUUUAUUUUUGGAAGUCGUAGAGUCAACGUUGAGGCUCAUAAACUAGCCAAGUAUUCUAUUACUCUUGGUCCGGGACGGCACGUUUGGUUUGGCCAAUCCCAUGACCAAAGAUGUAUGCCACACUCUGUGGUCUAUGAUGAAUAA